GAAAACGAUAAGCCGCAAAAUAAAAUUGAUAAAAAUAAAUUACCAAAUUUUAUGAUUUAUCGAAAAGGUUUUUCAAUCGUUCCGACACCCCCCGUCCGUGCGUGAGUACGAGUGUUUCAUCUCGCGAAAAAGAUGAGAAAUUAGAAAAGGAAAAUGCACAGAAAUAAAUGAAAGAAAAUAACUAUACGUUAAAACGAACAACAACCUGCGCAUCGAAGUGACAAACUCGAACGAACGAUCUCAACUUCAAGUAACCAAAAACCAAAAAAAAAAAGAGAAACAAAAAAACGAAAACCAAAAGACUAAUCAGAGGCGAGCCACCAAUCGUAUAAGACAAGCAUCUGAAUCUGAAAAACAGAAAAAAAAAAAAAAAAACAAACAAACAAACGAACAAACCGAAGCGAAAAAGCAAAGAAAUUAGAGAACAGAAAAACGAUAGAAAGAGAAAUCUAGGAAACGAAAAAAAAAAAAGGAGGAAAACUGAAAACUAGAGAAGAUCCAAGAAUUCAAAUCAACCGAAAGUGAAAAGUCCGGUGAACUUGAAACAUCCCUCUGUCACGACCGUGUGGACUGAGGUCCGGACGUAACACCUCGACGAAAAAAAGAAAAAAAACCUAAAGUUACAUCUUGAUUUCUCUCGGAAUCUCGACGUUACAAGGAGAUCGGAGAUUCUCAGAGAUAUUGAAAGGCAAGAAAAUUAAGUUCACGACUGAUAACGAGAGAGAAAAGAAUAAACUCAAUCCAAACUUGUAGCAACCAAAAUCCUUGAAAGAAAUAGUGAAAUAGAGAAGUAACUUCGAAAAGCUGACGGUGAUCUACGUAGAAACGAGUAGCUUGUUAUAACUGGCCUAAUUACAAGAAGAAAAAAAUAAUAGUGCGAAAUACUUACUACUCUGUGGUAGUAAACUUGUAAACCUUGUUAGACUGCAGAUUCUAAUAAUAAUAUUAAUAAUAAUAACAAUACUAAUAAUAAUAAUAAUAAUAAUACUAAUAACGACGUAAAUAAAGAAGAACUGUAUAUCGCUGUACGAAGGAGGACUGAUUUUAUAGGAUAUAAGGAACCUAUUAUACUUAUAUGAGACGAAGAAAAAUAGCGAAAAAAAGAGAAUACCAAAAAGCAAGAACGUAUAACAAGGGAAUAAAUUAAGCGAAUGAAUAAACAAAUGAAUAAAUGAACAAACAAAUAAAUGAAUCUAUAAAUAAAUAAGAGGACAAAAUAAUCACGAAGUUUUGAAUCUCGAAUCAACGCAGGGAGGAGAUAAAAUUGAACGAACAAAGAAACAAAUAAACCGACAAACAA
RNAcentral lists this unclassified non-coding RNA (1300 nucleotides) under Athalia rosae (coleseed sawfly). RNAcentral describes it as "misc RNA ENSAEAG00005004285.1". Lineage: Eukaryota; Metazoa; Arthropoda; Insecta; Hymenoptera; Athaliidae. The record is from RNAcentral.